CCUACGGGAUCUGCAGUGGGGAAUAUUGGACAAUGGGCGAAAGCCUGAUCCAGCCAUGCCGCGUGUGUGAAGAAGGCCUUCGGGUUGUAAAGCACUUUCAGUGGGGAAGAAAGCCUUGGGGCUAAUACCCUCGAGGAAGGACAUCACCCACAGAAGAAGCACCGGCUAACUCCGUGCCAGCAGCCGCGGUAAUACGGAGGGUGCGAGCGUUAAUCGGAAUUACUGGGCGUAAAGCGCGCGUAGGCGGUCUGAUAAGCCGGUUGUGAAAGCCCCGGGCUCAACCUGGGAACGGCAUCCGGAACUGUCAGGCUAGAGUGCAGGAGAGGAAGGUAGAAUUCCCGGUGUAGCGGUGAAAUGCGUAGAGAUCGGGAGGAAUACCAGUGGCGAAGGCGGCCUUCUGGACUGACACUGACGCUGAGGUGCGAAAGCGUGGGUAGCAAACAGGAUUAGAUACCCUUGUAGUC
This 464-nucleotide ribosomal RNA is filed under the name Vreelandella stevensii. RNAcentral's name for it is "partial 16S ribosomal RNA". It matches the Rfam family "Bacterial small subunit ribosomal RNA", at positions 338 to 795 of the family's 1533-position model. Lineage: Bacteria; Pseudomonadati; Pseudomonadota; Gammaproteobacteria; Oceanospirillales; Halomonadaceae. The record is from RNAcentral.